Long non-coding RNA from Rhododendron vialii, 668 nucleotides. RefSeq lists it as uncharacterized. NCBI's taxonomy places the organism in Eukaryota, Viridiplantae, Streptophyta, Magnoliopsida, Ericales, Ericaceae. The record is from RefSeq and is a predicted model, not a curated record. The transcript has 2 exons.
GAGGUCGUAUUUUUUCUUUUAUAAACGUACGGCCCGUCGAAAUAGACAGUACGGAUAUUCGGUGUGACGUGUUCGUAGAAGGAUAUAAAGGUAAUUAUGUGAAAGGUGCACGUGUGAGUGUGUGGUGCGAGAAGCGGGGGAUUGCUCCCCACUUCUAUAAUUCUUCUCAGGAGAAUUAUUUCUCCUCCCUAUUCUCUCAUUCUCUCACGGCUGUCUCUCUCUCCUCUCCUCCGAAACUUUCUCUCCUCUCUUCUCUCUUCGAUUUCAUUCACCUAGGGUGAGAUUCCGGACAAAGCCCGAGUAUUAAAGUUGCUAUUCGGAGUACGGGCUUUCCGAAUAUCCAAGAAAAAUCAUGAUCGGACCUCGUGGAGCUACGGUUGACUGGGUCAAAGGGUCGGGUUUUACUCAAAACCCUUGAGGUUCAUUGCAGGUCAUGGUCAUGGUCAUGGAGUACUUGGAGUGCAUGCUGACAUUAUCGAUUAAAGCUAUUUUGGAGAGUACUUUAUUAUUCUUGAAUAACAAACGACUUUGUUAUGAAAUUCCUACUUUGAAAGAUUGUAUUUGUCGACCAAUUUAUGGAAUCGGAAACUGUAUUGUAUUUUGGGGUAUUGUACGUACGAUUGUGAGGACUUUGUAUUUCAAAUGGUAUUGUUAAUUUAUGUUGAAAA